GACGAACGCUGGCGGCGUGCUUAACACAUGCAAGUCGAACGAAGAGCGAUGGAAGCUUGCUUCUAUCAAUCUUAGUGGCGAACGGGUGAGUAACGCGUAAUCAACCUGCCCUUCAGAGGGGGACAACAGUUGGAAACGACUGCUAAUACCGCAUACGAUCCAAUCUCGGCAUCGAGACUGGAUGAAAGGUGGCCUCUAUUUAUAAGCUAUCACUGAAGGAGGGGAUUGCGUCUGAUUAGCUAGUUGGAGGGGUAACGGCCCACCAAGGCGAUGAUCAGUAGCCGGUCUGAGAGGAUGAACGGCCACAUUGGGACUGAGACACGGCCCAGACUCCUACGGGAGGCAGCAGUGGGGAAUCUUCCGCAAUGGACGAAAGUCUGACGGAGCAACGCCGCGUGAGUGAUGACGGCCUUCGGGUUGUAAAGCUCUGUUAAUCGGGACGAAUGGUUCUUGUGCAAAUAGUGCGAGGAUUUGACG
Molecule: ribosomal RNA, 477 nt
Filed under: Veillonella atypica
Lineage: Bacteria; Bacillati; Bacillota; Negativicutes; Veillonellales; Veillonellaceae
Description: bacterial SSU rRNA
Rfam family: Bacterial small subunit ribosomal RNA
Source: RNAcentral